This 537-nucleotide ribosomal RNA is filed under the name Pestalotiopsis eriobotrifolia. RNAcentral describes it as "eukaryotic LSU rRNA". The stretch from base 160 to 313 matches the Rfam family "5.8S ribosomal RNA". Lineage: Eukaryota; Fungi; Ascomycota; Sordariomycetes; Amphisphaeriales; Sporocadaceae. The record is from RNAcentral.
AGCGGAGGGAUCAUUAUAGAGUUUUCUAAACUCCCAACCCAUGUGAACUUACCUUUUGUUGCCUCGGCAGAAGUUAUAGGUCUUCUUAUAGCUGCUGCCGGUGGACCAUUAAACUCUUGUUAUUUUAUGUAAUCUGAGCGUCUUAUUUUAAUAAGUCAAAACUUUCAACAACGGAUCUCUUGGUUCUGGCAUCGAUGAAGAACGCAGCGAAAUGCGAUAAGUAAUGUGAAUUGCAGAAUUCAGUGAAUCAUCGAAUCUUUGAACGCACAUUGCGCCCAUUAGUAUUCUAGUGGGCAUGCCUGUUCGAGCGUCAUUUCAACCCUUAAGCCUAGCUUAGUGUUGGGAAUCUACUUCUCUUAGGAGUUGUAGUUCCUGAAAUACAACGGCGGAUUUGUAGUAUCCUCUGAGCGUAGUAAUUUUUUUCUCGCUUUUGUUAGGUGCUAUAACUCCCAGCCGCUAAACCCCCAAUUUUUUGUGGUUGACCUCGGAUCAGGUAGGAAUACCCGCUGAACUUAAGCAUAUCAAUAACGAGAAAAG